This 1519-nucleotide long non-coding RNA is filed under the name Phocoena sinus (vaquita). RNAcentral's name for it is "lncRNA (ENSPSNG00000007127.1)". The record is from RNAcentral. Lineage: Eukaryota; Metazoa; Chordata; Mammalia; Artiodactyla; Phocoenidae.
GACAAAGGACUAGUUCGAGGUGACUCAGCAAGUUAGGGACUGGGACAGAACUGGAUCCCACGCCGCCACUCUUUCCACUGCCUUGUGUAACUGGGCAGAUGAAUUUACAAGUGGACCUGGCUAAGAGUCUCACCCUUUGAGACCGAACCUAGUAAAGCAGUAACAACCACAGCAACAACAGCAGGGCAAAUAACCAUUUUUGGAGCUAAACCACCCAGAAAAUGGUUUGCAAGUAUGUUGCAGAUAGAUCUAGCAUCAUAUUUCUUUUUAUUCUUUUCUUUUUUUUUUUUUUUGCGGUACGCGGGCCUCUCACCGCUGUGGCCUCUCCCGCUGCUCCAGACGCGCAGGCUCAGCGGCCACGGCUCACGGGCCCAGCCGCUCCGCGGCAUGUGGGAUCUUCCCGGACCGGGGCACAAACCCAUGUCCCCUGCAUCGGCAGGCAGACUCUCAACCACUGUGCCACCAGGGAAGCCCCAUCAUAUUUCUUGAAACCAAUCAAAUGACCAAGUAGUAUUCUGAAGCUCUGUUGUAAAGAAAAUUACAACUUAUAUUGUAACCUGAAUGUCCAUAUCUCAAAAUUGUUCAGGAAAGCUCCUGGAGAUCAUUAUACAUUUGCUGGAACGCCAGAAGACCCUUAUGUCCAAAGUGUAGGCUAAGUUGCUAUAACAACAGAUGGAGCUUUGCUGGUAACUGAGAACAUAUAAGAGUUAAUAAAAGAGCAGUGCUCCUGAUACCCAUUGAAAAGGUAACUGCAUUGGUACCACUUAAGAAAAUCAUUCUGAACUGUGGCCCUUCUAGAUCUUGACUUCAGCCUUCCCCACCCGAUUCCAGAGAACUACAUGAAUAUCCUGGCCUUGGCGAAUGCUUUUUCAACAAACGUAUUCUUUCCUCAGGCAAGAAAUGAAGGAUUCUACAUUUUAAAAACCAAAACCAAAGAAAUAAAUGAGGAAGAUGGAAACUCUGCUUUUGAAUGUUAAGAAGAAAUUACGUAUUUUUGACUGUGACUUCUAAACUGCUUUAUCAGUUAAAUAAUUCUCUAUGUUUAUGAUCUGGGCCAUUCUUCCUACCGAAGUUAAAAGCUAAUGGAAAUGUUGUGUCUGCCAAGUAUUCCCACUUCAAAAGGAAAGUUUCUUGGUGCUUUGAUGUGAGCAACACCUCAUCUGUCUUCUUACAUCGUACAGUUCACUCCUAUCUAGGCUUUCUGAUAGCCUUUAAAAGUAUGCCUCUUUUCUCUAAAGCCUCAGGCAGAUUCACUCCACACUUACAGCUCUUUGGAUCAAGUGUAAUUAUAGAUCUUAGACUUUCAAAGUGUUGUGUAAAAAAAAAAAAACAUCUAUUAAGACUGUUUAUAAUCCUACCGGAGUUUUGUGAUAAGUAAUUCAUACAAGAACCAUCGUGUUUUUGUUUUUUGUUUUAAUCUUUUGUGUGACUUUACAAGACCUGGAAAACACCUAGGUGUGAAUUAACCAGAUCAUGUAAUGAAAUAUUUUGUUCAGAGAAAUAAAAUCCUAAUUUUAUC